AAUUUUUGCACUUCUUGCAGAAUUUGUCUAGCAGGCUUUCCAGUUUAUGCUGUAAAGACCCA
Small nuclear RNA from Rhinopithecus bieti (black snub-nosed monkey), 62 nucleotides. Its record names the gene U7. It matches the Rfam family "U7 small nuclear RNA". Rfam says of the family: Animal histone pre-mRNAs are spliced by a different mechanism than nuclear pre-mRNAs and self-splicing introns. This processing involves the U7 snRNP, which contains only one RNA species: U7. The 5' end of U7 RNA is thought to base-pair to a conserved spacer element downstream of the cleavage site in histone pre-mRNA. NCBI's taxonomy places the organism in Eukaryota, Metazoa, Chordata, Mammalia, Primates, Cercopithecidae. The record is from Ensembl.